RNAcentral lists this ribosomal RNA (773 nucleotides) under Neoterranova sp. JB-2022. Its description in RNAcentral is "SSU rRNA". It matches the Rfam family "Eukaryotic small subunit ribosomal RNA", at positions 210 to 987 of the family's 1831-position model. Lineage: Eukaryota; Metazoa; Nematoda; Chromadorea; Rhabditida; Anisakidae. The record is from RNAcentral.
UUAGAUUAAAACCAAUCGGGUUUCGGCCCGUCAGUUGGUGACUCUGAAUAACUAUUGCUGAUCGCAUGGUCUCGAACCGGCGACGUGUCUAUCAAGUGUCUGCCUUAUCAACUGUCGAUGGUAGUUUAUGUGCCUACCAUGGUUGUAACGGGUAACGGAGAAUAAGGGUUCGACUCCGGAGAGGGAGCCUGAGAAACGGCUACCACAUCCAAGGAAGGCAGCAGGCGCGCAAAUUACCCACUCUCGGCAUGAGGAGGUAGUGACGAAAAAUAACGAGACCGUUCUCUUUGAGGCCGGUUAUCGGAAUGGGUACAAUUUAAACCCGUUAACGAGGAUCUAUGAGAGGGCAAGUCUGGUGCCAGCAGCCGCGGUAAUUCCAGCUCUCAAAGUGUAUAUCGUCAUUGCUGCGGUUAAAAAGCUCGUAGUUGGAUCUGCGCCUCAGGACCUGGUCCGCCCACUGGGCGAGAACUGGGCUCCUGGGCUAGUUCGGCUGGUUUUCCCUACGUUGCCUUCAUCGGUCGCGUAGGGUGGCUAGCGAGUUUACUUUGAAAAAAUUAGAGUGCUUCACGCGGGCUUAUGUCUGAAUACUCGUGCAUGGAAUAAUAGAAUAGGAUCUCGGCUCUAUUUUGUUGGUUUUCUGAUCUGAGAUAAUGGUUAAGAGGGACGGACGGGGGCAUUCGUAUCGCUGCGUGAGAGGUGAAAUUCUUGGACCGUAGCGAGACGCCCGACUGCGAAAGCAUUUGCCAAGAAUGUCUUCAUUAAUCAAGAACGAA